RNAcentral lists this unclassified non-coding RNA (22 nucleotides) under Mus musculus (house mouse). RNAcentral describes it as "oocyte_clustered_small_RNA5351". Lineage: Eukaryota; Metazoa; Chordata; Mammalia; Rodentia; Muridae. The record is from RNAcentral.
UACUUCAGUGAGUGGGGGAGGC